RNAcentral lists this long non-coding RNA (641 nucleotides) under Ananas comosus (pineapple). RNAcentral's name for it is "long non-coding RNA (ACOM_LNC010210)". Lineage: Eukaryota; Viridiplantae; Streptophyta; Magnoliopsida; Poales; Bromeliaceae. The record is from RNAcentral.
UUGGCUGAUAAAAAAAGGAUAAAAAAAUGAGGGAUAAAUUAGAUUUUUGGUCCUCAAACUAUAAGGCGUAUGAUACUUUAGUUCUUAAAUUUUAAUUUAUUAUAAUUUAUGGCUCGAACUAUGAGACAUAUGAUACUUUUAGCCAUCAAACUUUAAUUUAUUAUAAUUUUUGAUUCGAACUAUGAAACGUGUGAUACUUUUAGCCUUCAAAUUUUAAUUAAUUGUAAUUUCUAGCUUGAAAUAUGAGGUACGUGACAUCUUAGCUCUAGACUUCCUAAUUUGUGGAAAUAUCUAAAGGUGUCUGUAGACUUGGUCGGGUCUAGGGUAGUUGAUAUGUGGUACUCGGGCCCUAAAAAGAAAUGGGUAGCUAAAAAAAUAUAGAUACCCUACUCAUUCAAUUUUAGGUCGGGUGCGGAUUUGGGUACUCAAGUUACUAAUAUAUUAAUUGGUUUUAUUUGAGCAGAUCUGAGUAGUGACUACUCGCAUACUACCCACUUAACAGUAGGUAAGAGUCGGAUCUAGAUCAAAUACGAGUACCCAUAUGCAUACACCUUUAUAGACUUUAUUAAACAGUCAAUGUACAAACCAUAAAUCUUUCACUAUAGAAAACUUAUGUUCUAAUGAGUUACACUGAACAAUAA